Zootermopsis nevadensis is the source of this 2621-nucleotide long non-coding RNA. RefSeq lists it as uncharacterized. Lineage: Eukaryota; Metazoa; Arthropoda; Insecta; Blattodea; Termopsidae. The record is from RefSeq and is a predicted model, not a curated record.
CGAACUCGCCAAACCCCGGGAUCCACUUGUUGCAGUCGGAGUCGCAAUGGUCACUUUUUCUGCAUUGAAGAUUCUAUUUAUCAUAUAUACAGUGAUAAGAAGAAUUUAUAAGCAAUAUCAUUAAGUACACUUGCAUACUGCUUCAAACACUUAUGAUGGUAAGCAGACGUUUAGAAUUCCGAUAAUAUUUUCCUAAGGAACGGAUAAAUCUACGAUUUUUCUAUAUUUUACGAUAAGAAAAAAGUCUAAAUUAAAGAGUAAUAAAAUUCGCUACAUAAAAUCGGAACCACAUCAUAGAAGAUUAAUGUAACAGCCAAGUGGCGAAUCCAUAAUAUGGAUUAAGCACGCAACUCUGAAACGUCGGUCAACUUCUAAAGACUUUUCCAUCGAAUGUCAAACACGGCUCAAAAAUAUCCGAUCUAAAAUCGGCUACGACAUUAAUUUUAAGCUUCAAAUGCAAAUGCCUUUUAAUUAGAAUACAAUGUUUUGUAGCUUCUAAACGUUUCGUUUAUAUUACUUUAAAAUUAACACUUUCAACCCGUCCGUAGUGCAAUUGGUUGCCCGGACAUAAGCAAUAGUCGUAGGAGCCAAGAGGUCACCUCAUCACCCACGCACAAUAAUCUGCUCUAUCUCUGUGAUCUCAAACUGUAUUACAGGACUACUCGUGAAUCACCACAUAAUUCGACACUGAGUACGAUAAGUUCACUUAUUUCCACCACCAAUAGUACAUUGUGCCGACUAUUCGGCUCUGAUGAUGUGACGGCGAAACUUCGAAAGGGGUGCGCAUGCGUGUGGUGAGGUUAGGCAGGUUUAGGAGAGGGGGGGAUGAUUUGGGCUGACCUCUUCUCUCCAGUACACGGACGAGACUCAGGCUGCUUCCACGGAUCGGGUCGGCAACGUCUCUCCGCCUGGGCACCCUCUUCGAGUUUCAGGGUACCAACGACCUAUAGAACUGAAAACCUCCUUCCCCUUUGGACUCUUGUUGAAAAGGGGAGAGUCGAUCAACAUUACCAAUACAUUUCACAUGAUCACAAGAACUACCCUCGCCAAUGCACGUACCAGCAGAAAAGAAUUUCAUCCACGAAGAAGACAACGCAGACAUCUCUUCCUGUUAUGACGAACCUAUAAUUGACAUCAAGGAAGACUUACUCUCAGAUAAUAAUGGCUACAUGUUGGGACAAGCAGUAAAAUGGGUCCUAAAUCGUACUCAAAUUCGAUCUACGGGGGCCCCGUCCGUCCUAGGGAACAUCGGCAACUCGUUGAGCCCAGGAGGCCUCCAACCCUGUAGUCGUACUUUUAGAAGAUCUUCUCUGAUAGUGAUGUUCACAUCCCCAUGUCGUCAGAUAACAAUGCUACAAUAUCUCGAGCUGAUUUGUCGUCGGCUGCACGUGGCCAUCAUGUAAUCGAGUAGGGUGCAGUCUUCGUCAGCAACUCACGACUGUGGUCUCAGCAGUGCACGAGAGAUCUCAUCUAGGUCGUCCCAGGUAUGGUGGAAGACCACUUCAAGCCACGAGCGCGUUAAUCACACCCGGAGUGAGCUAUAUUGGAACUCUUGUGCGCUUUUGGGAAAACAACAACGUGACGUUGUUAUGAAUCUGCAAGAAGCUUGCUUCUAAGCAAAACUAUCGCCAGCAUUGUUAGCAAAAACCAGAUUAUAACAAGAAUACGCUACUACAUAUAUACAAAAUUUGGACAUCGUUAAUCAAAAUUCCCACCCCUAGUACUAUUCGAGGACCAGCUAAAACUCAUGAGCCUACUCAACCCAAAGUCUUCACAAUUGAUUUUCAUAUUAUCCACUCAUCUUUGUCUCGAUGUUGAAAGUGAUAGCUUUCGAAAUAAUGCAUAUCCAAAAUAGUUAAGUUCGCGUCUCGUUUCUCCAACCCUGGCUACAUGACCAGCCCAUCGUAACCUGCUUAUUACUUACUGUCAACUAGAUGUCUGAAAUGUCGGUAAACUACCAGACGACACGGUGCCACAGCCGUGAGAACCCCAAAUCCUACUUAGUUCAUAAUUUAUCAGAUUCCUGCCUAUUUAUUUUUACAUCCCAUCUUUCUUAGUUCUAAUGUUUAACAGCAAUUUGUUUCACGAUUUAUUUUCCGUAAUACGUAAUAUAAUUACAGCAGAAAGCGAUAAAAAUUCUGACUGGAACAACAUUCAACACUACGACAAACUAAGCAAUAAGACAAAUAUUAACUAAAUUGUAUUUAAUUGUCUCAUUAUAAACAAAAAUACCUAAAUACAGUCAAAAUUACCAGCACAUUUGUUAAGACUCAAACUCUGUGCAUUAGGAAAGGAAGGUUUGUGAGCUCUGUCUGAAACAUCUAAUAAUAUAACAUAAACUAAUACAUGUUUCCUUUCUAAGCAUUACUUUUGUCGUUUGAAACAAAAAAGGUUCCAGUAACAGAUCACACCAUCAGAGUAUACUUAUAUUUAAUUAUAAUCCAAAGAUGGAUAGCUAUGUAAUUUUGCGAUUAAUCUUUUUAUAAAAACAAUAUGCCUCGAAGAAAAAGAAACAUGUAAAGGUAAAUUUAAUAAACUGUAUUUUCCAGCAUGCAGAGCUAUAUACUGUAUAGUUAUUGUGAGGAAAAUCUGUGGGAAUAAAAUGGUUAUACUACAUUCAA